GACGAACGCUGGCGGCGUGCCUAAUACAUGCAAGUCGAACGCUUCUUUCCUCCCGAGUGCUUGCACUCAAUUGGAAAGAGGAGUGGCGGACGGGUGAGUAACACGUGGGUAACCUACCCAUCAGAGGGGGAUAACACUUGGAAACAGGUGCUAAUACCGCAUAACAGUUUAUGCCGCAUGGCAUAAGAGUGAAGGGCGCUUUCGGGUGUCGUUGAUGGAUGGACCCGCGGUGCAUUAGCUAGUUGGUGAGGUAACGGCUCACCAAGGCCACGAUGCAUAGCCGACCUGAGAGGGUGAUCGGCCACACUGGGACUGAGACACGGCCCAGACUCCUACGGGAGGCAGCAGUAGGGAAUCUUCGGCAAUGGACGAAAGUCUGACCGAGCAACGCCGCGUGAGUGAAGAAGGUUUUCGGAUCGUAAAACUCUGUUGUUAGAGAAGAACAAGGACGUUAGUAACUGAACGUCCCCUGACGGUAUCUAACCAGAAAGCCACGGCUAACUACGUG
RNAcentral lists this ribosomal RNA (508 nucleotides) under uncultured bacterium. RNAcentral's name for it is "partial 16S ribosomal RNA". It matches the Rfam family "Bacterial small subunit ribosomal RNA", at positions 28 to 507 of the family's 1533-position model. The record is from RNAcentral.